This 497-nucleotide ribosomal RNA is filed under the name uncultured bacterium. RNAcentral's name for it is "partial 16S ribosomal RNA". It matches the Rfam family "Bacterial small subunit ribosomal RNA", at positions 28 to 507 of the family's 1533-position model. The record is from RNAcentral.
GAUGAACGCUGGCGGCGUGCCUAAUACAUGCAAGUCGAACGAACAGAUGAGGAGCUUGCUCCUCUGACGUUAGCGGCGCACGGGUGAGUAACACGUGGAUACCCUACCUAUAAUACUGGUAUAACUUCGAAAAACCGGAUCUAAUACCAGAUAAUAUAUUGAACCGCAUGGUUGAAUAGUAAAAUACGGCUUUGCUGGCACGUCUCGAUGGAUCCGCGCCGCAUUAGCUGGUUGGUACGUUAACGGGUUACGAAGGGAACUAUGCGUAGACGAGGUGAGAGGGUGAUAGGCCACACGGGAACUGAGCCAGGGUCAAUAGUACUACGGGAGGCACCAGUAGGGAACGUUACGCAAUGGGCGAAAGCAUGACGGAGCAACGCGGAGUGAGUGAUGAAGGUGUUCCGAUCGUAAUAAUCUGUUACGAGGGAAGAACAACUGUGUCAGUAAACAUGGCCGUAUUGACGGUAACUAAUAAGAAAGCAACGGCUAACUACGUG